This is a non-coding RNA of Rattus norvegicus (Norway rat), 9015 nucleotides long. The record is from RefSeq and is a predicted model, not a curated record. NCBI's taxonomy places the organism in Eukaryota, Metazoa, Chordata, Mammalia, Rodentia, Muridae.
AUGGCUACUGCACCCAUGUAUGGUAUUACCGUAUGACAAGGUGCACACACGGAGUGUGUACUACCGUGAUGAGCUGGGCUUCUUGUACAGAGACCAUGACCUGCCAUGCUAACACAGCUGAGACUUUGUCCGAUUCCUGUCGCUCGAAGAAACCCACAGGCUUGCCCCUGUGUUCAGAGAUGGGGCUUGAAAGAGCGGACUUGCCUACUAUGAUGAGAUGUAAUACCAGAGGAACGGCUAAGCUGAGAUAGAAAGAUUAGCGGAGAGGAGCAAUUUGCCAUCUACAAUGGGGCUGCCCCAGCAGACAUGAACACGACGUUCUAAAGAACUAAGCUAAUAAUGCACAAAAGCCCAGGACCCCACCAUUUAGCUCGCGUCUCCCCUCCUCAUUUAAAAUUCUCUGGAAACAGCCUUACAGAUACUCUCCGAGCUGUGUCUUCUAGGUGAUUCCAAGUCCAGUCAACUUGACAACUAAAGAAAAGGUAAGCUUCACAGUGGUCAGAGAGGAAACCUAUUAUUAUUAUAAUUAAAAAAAAAUAAAAUUGUGUGUGCGUGUGUGUGUGUGUGUGUGUGUGUGUGUGUGUGUGUAUGUAUGAAUACAUUGACCUCAGAAGUAUCAGAUUCUUUGCAGCUACAGGUAAGCCACCUGUCAUGGGUGCUGGGAACCAAACUAGGGUCCUCUGCGAGAAUGGGACAUAGCCUUAACCUGUAAGCCAUUCCUCUAGGCAUUUCUCCAGUAACCCCACCAACAUUUUUGGGGACACGGCCUCACUUGACCUUGGGCUGUCCUUCAGUUCAGCUACGUAGCCAGCUUCUGACCUCACCUUCUGAUCUUUCUGCUUUCACCAGUGCUGGGACUUACAGGUGUAAACCACCAUUCCAGGUUUGUAUGUACUGGGGAAGAGCGAUGGGGUUUGAUCUGGUCUACAAACUCAGUCGCAUCCCUACAGUUAGGACUUUAAACAACCAGUCCAGGCUGUAGUCCUGUCGUCCUCUGUGACCUUCAGAGAGGGAACAGCUUCUGGACUUCCAAGUCCUCCAGGAGGUAGGACUCUGCACACCCUGACUAAGGUGGUCAGGGAGAAGAGAGGUAUCAGGGUAUUUUUUUCCUCGAUGGCUCUGGUUGGUUACUGUGAAGCCCUCUCGGAUUUCCCAGCUCACCACUAAUGGCCUAACUACCUGGAAUCAAUCUCUACCUGACUCUCAUUGAUGAAUCGAUUUGCCCAGCUUUCUCUCUUGCAUUUUGGCACCAAACCUCCUUCAGGUACCUAUUAAGUUUUAAACCUAAGACCCAGACACCAGAUCCUAAAGAAGAACAACAUCCAUAAUUUGGGUUAAUUAAAAUGCCUCCGAAGGAACAGGUGACAGAUGUCAAGCCUCCUGGCACCGGAAGGAAGACACCUCCACAGACUAUUAGGAUUCCUGUGUUAAUCAGGUAAUAGUAACUUGGGUAAUUAGCAAAUCACACCAAAUCUUGUUUAAGUCCCAAAUCUCAUUUAGAGCCUUUUGGAGAAACCGUUUAAAUACAAAGGACACGGUCUCCUAGUGAGAGAAGAUGACUGCUUACUAGGGCAGACAUACCAGGCUUCCUGCCUCUAUUAAAUCCAUUUUAAUUACAAAGUCUCAGUGUCUAAUUCACCACAAUUGGAACGAGAGAGUGCCUUUUCCUUUGUCCUUACUAAAACUCUGAGAACCCCAGGCUCUGGAAUUCUGGGUGACUGAAAAUUCAGCAAGUCCCAUGCUAGGAAUAUGGUGGUAGUCUUUGUCACCUGUCUUCAACAGUACCCUGAGGACUGUGAAAAGAACUCUCUGACUUUGUCCAUUUCUAAAGAUCCAUCCACCCAUCCACACACCCACCCAUCCACACACCCACCCAUCCACACACCCACCCAUCCACACACCCACCCAUCCACACACCCACCCAUCCACACACCCACCCAUCCACCCACCCAUCCAUCCAUCUUUGAGAUAAAAAUCUAGCCUUGGCUGUCCUAGAGCUCUCUAUGUAGACCAGGCUGGCCUCAAACACACAGAUCAGCCUGGCUUUGCCUCUCCAGUGCUGGGAUUAAGGCAUGACCCACCGUGCCCAGCUAAGUCUUUAUUUGUGUUAAAUCUUCUGUAUGUGUAUAGACCUGUGUGUGGUUACAUGAAUGUGCGUGCAGCUUCUCCCAAAGACCAGAAGAAAGCACUGGAUCCACGGGAGCCGGAGUUAAAGGUUGCUGAAGCCACCUGAAGUGGGUGCUGAGAAUUGAUCUCCUGUUUCCUGCAAUGAGCACCAGGCGCUCCCGACCACUUAGUCAUCUCUGUAGCCUUCUUGUGUUCAUGAUUAAAUCAUAAUUCAUAAGAAUGAUUUUGACCACUAAUACCUCUCUGUAGAAGGAACCAAAAGAUUCCUGAGGCUGGAAGUGACCACAAGAUAUAUAUUCACAUUGUAUUGAAUAGUCAAGCAAAGCGAGCAUGCUCUCCUCUGACUUCCUUUCCUCCCUCUUUGAGCUAACACGCUUUUCGGUGUGGCAGAUGUGUACACUUUUGUGUUUUUAUAUACUUGUAUGGGUUCGUGUGUGUGUGUGUGUGUGUGUGUGUGUGUGUGUGCAAAAGGAAAAAAAAAAGACUGACCUCCAGUCUCCUGCAUGAGCACCAAGCACUCUUGAUCACAGUCAUAAAGUUUUUAAAAAGACAUGUCAGUAUUUAUUGUGUCCACAUACCACAUGCUUGUGUCCAUGCCCCAGACAUGUGUACAAGUGGCAAUCGGAGAAUCAGAGGACGACUUUCCGGAGUUGGUUCUCUUCUUCCAUUAUGUGUGUCCUGGAGAUUAAACCUGGGUCACGAGGUUAGGCAUCAAGUACUUUUACACUCUGAUGCACUGUUUUUAUUAUUUUAUUUUUCAGGUUGUGAGCCUAGCCUUGAACUGUGAGCCAUCUCUCCAGUUCCUUUUGUUUUUGUUUUUGUUUUUUUUUUUUUAAGACAAGCUUCUCAUUGGCCUGGAACUUCCUUCCCCAGCACUGGGAUGCCAAAGGUGCACAUGACACCAGACUUGUGUGUGUGUGUGUGUGUGUGUGUGUGUGUGUGUGUGUGUGUGUUCUGGAGAUCCCAUUCAGAUCCUCAUUCCUAACAGAUCAGUUACCUCCCCAACCCUUGAGCUGUUACUUGGAAGCAUUUUUUUUUUUAAAGAUUUAUUUAUUUAUUAUAUAUAAGUACACUGUAGCUGUCUUCAGAUACACCAGAAGAGGGCAUCGGAUCUCUUUACAGAUGGUUGUGAGCCACCAUGUGGUUGCUGGGAAUUGAACUCAUGACCUCUGGAAGAGCAGUCGGGUGCUCUUAACCUCUGAGCCAUCUCUCCAGCCCACUUGGAAGCAUUUUUAUAGAGCUCUUUGCCAUGUCCCUCUCUAUUUGGAGCUAAAUAUUACUGAGUUCCCAUGCCGUCACUGGGUUCAGAUUAGCUCAGCCUGGGCUUGUUUCAACAAGACAAGUGUUUUUUGUUGUUUUUUGUUUUUUGUUUGUUUUUUGUUUGUUUCUUUUUUUCGGAGCUGGGGACCGAACCCAGGGCCUUGCGCUUCCUAGGUAGUAGAUCUUCCUAGUGGUAGAUUUAGCUCUACCACUGAGCUAAAUCCCCAACCCCCAAGACAAGUCUUAAAGCUGGUGACUCUUGUGUGUUCCUUGCUCUCAUUUACUUAGAGAGGACCAGGGAAAGAAUCCAAGAUUAGUUAGUGGAGUACUUCAGGCUUUACCUGUCACAAUGCUUGAAUGCUUCAACCUUAUUUUUUUUCUGCCUUUCUUUCUGUUUCUACUACAACAUCACCCAUUAGCCUUGGUGGAUGGAGGUGGUGGUGAGGGACUGGAUGUCAUCUUUGAUAGAAAAAAUAUAAAAAUUGAAACCAUGCUGGGGCACAGAAAUCGGAUAACUUGGACUGAGGAUUCAGCUUGGGUAUCAUCUUAGUAUCUUUUUCUCUUGCUGUGAAAAAAAAAACUUGAAUAACAGCAACUUAAGGGGUAAGUUUACAGCUUAAAUAUAGUCCAUCAUGGGGGGGAAAUCAAAGCGGGAGCUUGAAGCAGCUGGUCACAUCAUCAAGAAGAUAGUCUUGUAGUCAGGUCAACUUUUUCCACUCUACACAAUCCAGGAAUGGUUUCAAUCACAACCAAGAUGGGUCUGCCCACAUCACAGGUAUUCAAAGCCCAGCUCCACUGAGUCUAGAGUAUGUCCAACCCACCACCAACGUGUAUCAUCACAGCUACUUAGCACAUCUGGGAAACAUCCAAGCUGGUCUCUGAGACUCUUUGAACCCCAUCUGCUAAAUUCAAGCGAGAGUGUCUCUCCCCUGUGAUUCACAGGGGUGGCAGGAGAAUGAACGUCGAGUAACAUUCUACAAGCUGUUUCCUCAAAACUUGCAAAGGAGACAGAACUUAAUGCAAUUCCAUAGACAUAUCCUGGAAACAGGGAAGCUGCCUCCCUGCUUCUAUGCCUGCUUGCCUUCUGAGUCCACUACUGAUGACAGAAAUGGCCCGUGCUCCUUAGACACCAAGCACAGUAUCUUCUCUAGGAGGAUGAGCCACAGGGGCCUGGGUAGAUGCUGUACAAAGCAUGAGGAUCUGAGUUCAGAUAUCUAACAUAAACAUAACUAUUAUUCACAGUGACACAUGGUUGUAACCCCAGAACUGGGGAGACAGACCAGGGAUAUCUUUGCUGGCCAUCUAGUUGGGCUGAAUUAACAAGCUCCAUGUUCAGUGAGAGACCCUGUCUCAAAAGCUUAAGGAUAGAAGCCAAUUAAAGAAGACACUUGACUGUGACCCUGGUCUCCCCAUGCACAUGUACGUGUGAGACUCUCUAUGGACAACGACACACACACACACACACACACACACACACACACACACACCUACCUUGGCCAUACGAGAACAGAAUGGUAGCAGGAAGAGAUGUGAGGAUUGGCAGUUUCAUAUAUUUGCCAUGUAAGUACCUUUCGACCAACAGAACAGGAUCUGUUAUGUCAACUAAUGACUUGGAAAACAAAAGACCCAGGGUGGAUGGAUGGCUCAUCAGUUAAGAACACCAGUUGCUUUGCCAGAGGCCCCAGGUUAUAUUCCUAGUACCUACAUGGGAGCUCACAACAAUCUAUAAUUCCAGGUAUCCUCUCAUGACCUCCCUGGGCACCAGGCAUAUAUGUGGUACACACAUAUCCAUGCGGCAAAACAGCCAUAAAUAAAUUACUUAAAACAAGUUAAUAUGAAGAGAAGCUAAGUAGGUUAUACAGAGUCACUAAGAGGAAAACAUCUUUUUUUUUUUUUUUUUUUUUUUUUUUUUGUCUGUAGCUGAGGAUGAUCUUGAACUCCUGAUUCUCAACACCUCAACACCAGGCACAUAACAUCAUGCCCCAUUUAUGUAGUGCAGAAGACCAAACCCAGGACCUCUGCAUGCUGGACAAUCACUUUAUCAACUGAGCCACAUAUGUAACACCAACACCAGUUAUGGGACUGACACAGUUGGUCAGUGAUGUGGACAGGGCAUAUCAGCAUUCAGAGAGCUAUAAGAGAGUUAGGAUAGAGAGACGGGCUUGGGACAAAUGUGUUAAUUAGGUGAGUGGUAAAUGUCUGAUGUGCCUAGAAGGAGACAGUGAGGGUCUCUGACAGUAAUUCAUACAGCAAUUCACUACAGCAACCGACAAGAAUCGGAGUCAUUUUCGAUGACACCUUGCUACAGAUAUGAUUUUGAGGGUGGGGUGGGCUUCCCACUUCAAACUUGGUACCUUCUCUUCCUAGAAUAUAACUUCCUAGUUAUUUUCUUGGUCCACUACUGCUCACCAAAAUCAGAUUUUCCAGAAAGCCUGUGUGUGUGUGUGUGUGUGUGUGUGUGUGUGUGUGUGUGUGUGUAUGUUGUACUUCUGCAGUACCCCCACCUACAGUUCCAGAGCGCGGAGUGAGUUAUAUGUCUAUAUCUCUGUGGUAGAAGAGGCUGGCUUAACUUGUUUCCCAUUGUGUCCCUAGGCCUGUUCUGAAGUCUAGAAUAUGGUAGUAAAAUUGAACAGUCAUGUGACCUGAAACUAGAAAUGGCAGUAUAUUAGAUCAUAAACACAGAGACAAGGUGUCUUCAAAAAAUCAAAGGAAUGAGUCUGUUACCCUCAAAGAUGAAUGACCUUUAAUAAGAAAUGAAGGGUGUGGCCUUGGUUCAGCGGUAUCAUCAUCCUAGAAUAACCAAGGUGUUGGAAGCUCAGCGGUAGAGCCCCUGCCUAGAAUCCCCCCAAUGAGGGGCUGGGGGCGUGGCUCAGUGGUAGAGCCCCUGCCUAGAAUCCCCCAGUGAGGAGCUGGGGGCGUGGCUCAGCGGUAGAGACCCUGCCUAGAAUCCCCAGUGAGGGGCUGGGGCGUGGCUCAGUGAUAGAGCUCCUGCCUAGAAUCCCCCAGUGAGGAGCUGGGGGCGUGGCUCAGCGGUAGAGCACCUGCCUAGAAUCCCCCAGUGAGGGGCUGGGGGCGUGGCUCGGUGGUAGAGCCCCUGCCUAGAUCCCAGUGAGGGGCUGGGGGCGUGGCUCAGUGGUAGAGCCCCUGCCUAGAAUCCCCCAGUGAGGGUCUGGGGGCGUGGCUCAUCAAUAGAUCACUAUGCACAAAGCCUUAAGUUCCAUCUCCAGGAUAUUGCUCAGCAGGCUCCCUGUAUAUCCUCUGGGAGAGUAGCCACCAUUCCCAAAGACAGAAGGCAUUAGCCAGAAGCACUUUUCUGAACUUUUUGGAACCUUUGGCAAAUUCAAAACAACUUCUAUCUUCCUCCCCACCACAAAAUCAAAACAACCCCACCACCACCCAAGAUGAAGGACUGUGAGGCAUUUUGUUUUCCAUCUUGCUAAUUUUUCUCGGCUGCUGGAGGUGAAAAACCAAAGUAGGACUCCAUCUCCCAGAGGCUGUGGUCCAAAUCAAACUAAGGAAAAUGGGUGGGGCUGGGGCAAGUAAAACAGAGACCCUCAGCACCACAGAGAGCUAAUGUCUGCGAAACGGGCAGAGGGGGCUGGUGGGUGGCACUCGAGUUCAUGCCUCAUGUACACCUGCAGUGAGGAAGGCCCCCAACCCCUGUGCCAGCUCUCACGAGGCCAGGCAGACAGUACUGGUUUUGUUGCUAGCCCCCCUCUUUUGGUGGGGUGCUUUCUUCCCGCACAGCAGGCAGGGCGGUGAGAGCUGACAAGCACUGGUAGAAUUUUAAAAAUUGCUACCACUCUCCCACAAGACGUCCAUUAUUUCUCCAGAGCCGUACGAUUCACAGCAUAAAAGCAUAAUCAAGAGAAAUCGUGGCUCGGCUCAGCCAGAGAUGGGCAGAAUAGUCCAUUUAACUUUAUGUUAAAAAAAGGUAAAAUAAUUGGACCAAAAUCUGUUUGAAAUGGGAGUAGGAAAUGGCUUGUUUUCAAUCUAUUUCGAACGAAAAAAAAAAAAACCCAUUAAACCCUCAUUGGAAACUAUUUAGUUUGGAAACAAGUUUAGUAUUCCAUAGAUGGUGAGUGUUGAAAGUUGUGGCAGAGCACAGCCUGUGUGGGGACUGCCCAACUAUCUGAUGACCUAGUUCCAAAGGGUUCUGGAAAAAAGAGUGUUGGCUGGGCUGGGGCAGUUCACAGCCUGGCUGCUGGCCUUACAGCAAAAUCUGCAAGACACAACUGACUGGAGAAAAGGAAACCUUUCAAGUUGAUGGAAAAGCCCUAGGGACCUUGGGCUGGCAAACAGAAUCAUGGCUCCAAGAGCAAGGAGAAACUGAAGGCAGUGGAGGGUGGAGCUGGGCUGUCGAGGAGAUGGGAGUGAAUCCUUAGGGCUAUGCCACCCUGGGACUUAGCCUCACAAAUGACAGGACACUUGGGGUUGGGAAGAUGGUUCUGGGUAAAGUGCUUGCCUUACGAGUAGGAAGAGUUGAGCCUGAACCCCAGAGCCUACCUACAAAGCCAGGUGUGGUGGCACAUGCUUGUAAUCCCAGAGCCAGGGAAGUGAAGAGAAGGGGAACCCCACCCUAGGGUACUUGGUGAGUUCCAGGCCAGUGAGAGAGCCUGUCUCCAAAAUUACGAUGGCAAGACAGCUUAGGAAUAAAGGUGACGUCCGCCAAGCCAGAACUUGACUACAUCUGGAAUGAGCUACAAUAGAGAAACAGAGGGCACACCUGUGAUCCAGAUCUUGAGGCUGGAAGACACAGGCUUCUGACCUGGACCUUGAGGCAUAGUAGCCAUGAAAAGUUCAGGCCCAGGCAAGGUAGUACACGCCUUUAAUCUUAGGAGACUGAGGCAAGCAGAUCCCUGAGUUCAAGGUCAGCCUGGGACAAAGGAAGUUAGUUUUAGAUCCAGGCACGGCGGAACACACCUUUAAUCUGGGCCACACCUUCUGCUAGAGGCCUACAUAAGGACUUUGGAGGAAGGAAGACUCAUUCCUCUUUGCCUGCUUGCAGUUAUCUGCCAGCAAAUCUGUUGGAACCUAAUUCGACAGAAGACAGCUUAAACAGUUACUCUCACAGGACUGAGCAACUAUCAGAUUUCUAGACUUCCAUUCACAAGCUGCCCAUUGUUGGGCUAGUUGGAUUGCAGACUGUAAGUCACUACAGUAACUUCCCUUAAUAUAUAGAGACAUUCUGUAAGUUCUAUGACUCUAGAGAACCCUGACUAAUACACUUGAGUUCCAUCCCCAGGAUCCAUAUGAUGGAAGGAGAGAACUGACUCCCCUAAAGCAGGCUCCUGAUCUCCGCAUCUGCCCGCACACACAGAACUAACAAACAAACGUAAUUAAGGAAACAAAACACAAAACCCAACAAAAUGAAUAGUACCUGAAUAACAAAACCAGGAGCUGAUUUCUGGCCUUCAAAUGCACACACACACACACACACAUACACUUAGAAAUACUAAAAACACUCAUGCUAACACAAACAGCUAGCUGACAGGCCUAGAAUAAGACAUCCCAUGCCCGCGCCUCUAGGGGACAUGUACCCUGAGAACAUCUUUGGAUGCAGGGCCGUAGGAAGAGGCUGGCCUACUGUGUCCUUUUCAUGCAUGCUGUGGUCACCUGCCAUGGGGU